ACGGAACUGGGCCCUGAGGCCCGGUGGAGUUUGGUGAGGCGGCAGGUGAUAACGAUGAUGAUGAUGCAGAGUCAAACAGCUGUGUCCCAGGUGCUGCGCUAAGGCCUUCAUGUGACUUGUCUCACUCAGUCCUCCCUGCGCCCUGUGUGGUGGACAUCACCAUCCCCACUGAAGGGGAAACAGGGAGAGAGAAGAGAAUUUCUUGGAGCUCGAUUUCUCCCUGCCCCUCAGCAGUUCCCUCCACGCUGAAGGCUGGGUCACACGCUCAGGUCGUAACGAACCACAAAGCUGUUUGGGAGAAAGGGACCACGAGAGGACAUUUGACAAAGAGUGAACAGAUGUCAUUUCGGAGGCAG
This 356-nucleotide long non-coding RNA is filed under the name Equus caballus (horse). RNAcentral's name for it is "lncRNA (ENSECAG00000057327.1)". The record is from RNAcentral. Lineage: Eukaryota; Metazoa; Chordata; Mammalia; Perissodactyla; Equidae.